AUUGAACGCUGGCGGCAGGCCUAACACAUGCAAGUCGAACGGUAACAGGAAGAAGCUUGCUUCUUUGCUGACGAGUGGCGGACAGGUGAGUAAUGUCUGGGAAACUGCCUGAUGGAGGGGGAUAACUACUGGAAACGGUAGCUAAUACCGCAUAAUGUCGCAAGACCAAAGAGGGGGACCUUCGGGCCUCUUGCCAUCGGAUGUGCCCAGAUGGGAUUAGCUAGUAGGUGGGGUAACGGCUCACCUAGGCGACGAUCCCUAGCUGGUCUGAGAGGAUGACCAGCCACACUGGAACUGAGACACGGUCCAGACUCCUACGGGAGGCAGCAGUGGGGAAUAUUGCACAAUGGGCGCAAGCCUGAUGCAGCUAUGCCGCGUGUAUGAAGAAGGCCUUCGGGUUGUAAAGUACUUUCAGCGGGGAGGAAGGGAGUAAAGUUAAUACCUUUGCUCAUUGACGUUACCCGCAGAAGAAGCACCGGCUAACUCCGUG
This 490-nucleotide ribosomal RNA is filed under the name uncultured bacterium. Its description in RNAcentral is "partial 16S ribosomal RNA". It matches the Rfam family "Bacterial small subunit ribosomal RNA", at positions 30 to 507 of the family's 1533-position model. The record is from RNAcentral.